Molecule: non-coding RNA, 777 nt
Organism: Arvicanthis niloticus (Nile rat)
Lineage: Eukaryota; Metazoa; Chordata; Mammalia; Rodentia; Muridae
Source: RefSeq, a predicted model, not a curated record
AUGGCUGCCUACAAGCUGGUGCUGAUCCGGCAUGGCGAGAGCACCUGGAACCUGGAGAACCACUUCAGCAGCUGGUAUGAUGCCAACCAGGCCAGCCGGCCAUGAAGAAGCGAAGCGCGGCAGGCAGUCGUUGCAAAAUGCUGGCUAUGAAUCUGACAUCUGCUUCACCUCUGUGCAGAAAAGAGCAAUCCAGACCCUCUGGACAGUCCUGGAUGCCAUUGACCAGAUGUGGUUGCCAGUGGUCAGGACUUGGCGCCUCAAUGAGUGACACUAUGGGGGUCUAACAGGUCUCAAUAAAGCAGAAACUGCAGCUAAGCAUGGUGAGGCACAGGUAAAGAUCUGGAGACGGUCUUACGAUGUCCCACCACCUCCCAUGGAGCCUGAUCAUCUCUUCUACAGCAACAUCAGCAAGGAUCACAGGUACGCAGACCUUACUGAGGACCAGCUACCCUCCUGUGAGAGCCUGAAGGAUACUAUUGCCAGAGCACUGCCCUUCUGGAAUGAAGAAACUGUGCCCCAGAUCAAGGAGGGGUAAAGGGUCUUGAUUGUCGCCCAUGUCAACAGCCUUUGGGCAUCGUCAAGCAUUUGGAGAGUCUCUCAGAAGAGGCCAUCAUGGAGCUGAACCUGCCCACGGGUAUUCCCAUUGUCUAUGAAUUGGACAAGAACUUGAAGCCCAUCAAGCCCAUGCAGUUCCUGGGGGAUGAGGAGACCGUGCGUAAAGCCAUGGAAGCUGUGACUGCUCAGGGCAAGGUGAAGACAUGAAGGUGAGGAGGCAGA